CACGUCAGAGCGCUUUGCUGACGUGGCAGCAAAUUGUGUCCAUGUAAGCGCGAUUUGUUGCCACGUCAGCAAAACGCUCUAACGUGG
Molecule: non-coding RNA, 87 nt
Organism: Gossypium raimondii (Peruvian cotton)
Lineage: Eukaryota; Viridiplantae; Streptophyta; Magnoliopsida; Malvales; Malvaceae
Source: Rfam